CCCGCUGAGUUUAAGCAUAUCAAUAAGCGGAGGUAAAUAAACUAACUAUGAUUCAUUUAGUAACGACUAGCGAACCGGGAAAAUCCCACCAUGAGAGUCGGUCGCCCUCGGUGUCCGAAUUGUAGUCUGGAGAAGCUUCCUCAGCGGUGGGUCGAGCCCAAGUCCCCUGGAAUGGGGCGCCGGAGAGGGUGAGAGCCUCGUCGUUCCCAAACCAUGUCGCACCAUGACGCGUUGUCAGUGAGUCAGUUUGUUUGGGAAUGCAGCCCCAAUCGAGCGGUAAAUUCUGUCCAAGGGUACAUAAUGGCGAGACCGAUAGCGAACAAGUACCGUGAAGGAAAGAUGAAAAUGACUUUGAAAAGAGAGUCAAAGAGUGCUUGAAAUUUUUGGGAGGGAAGCGGAUGGGGGCCGGUGAUGUACCUCGGUCGGAUGUGGAACUGCGAGAGUCGGUCUACCAAUCGACUCGAGGCAUGGACCGCCAAUUGACUGGAGAAGCAUCAUCAACACGAUUUUGAUUGGAAGUGUGCGUCGUUUGGUGUGCUUCGACACCUGUAUGCUCCGGGCGUCGGCUUGUAGGCUCCCUAUUCAGUCUAUCUUGAAACACGG
This is a ribosomal RNA of Lupinus angustifolius (narrow-leaved blue lupine), 603 nucleotides long. It matches the Rfam family "Eukaryotic large subunit ribosomal RNA", at positions 24 to 664 of the family's 3401-position model. The record is from Rfam. Lineage: Eukaryota; Viridiplantae; Streptophyta; Magnoliopsida; Fabales; Fabaceae.